GUCAGCAUCCGUGCUGCAGCCUGACCUCUGGUGGCGUUUUCGCGUCACUGCCAGCAGCCUCCUGCAGCCGCUCUAGGUGUCUGUUUUCAUGCUACCUGCACCCGAAUACAUUCCGGUUGCUACACACAAGGUGGUAGGAUUGGGCAGUUAUUUUCUUCUUUGAAAAACCGAGAAACCAUCUGCAUACCGUAAAACUCACUUUUUUUGGCUGCAUGCCCGGCGUGCGCAAGUUCCCAGACCAGGCACUGAACCCAUGCCACCGCGUCGCCCGGAGCCACGGCAGGGACAGCACUGGAGCUUUAACCCACUGCACCGCAAGGGGACUCCUCGGACUCACCGUUUAUAAGAGAAAGGAGUUACAAACCAAAAAUGCAACCAUCCUGGCUUCUGUGUUACCUACGUGGAUACAGGAUGCAGCGCCAAGCUGAGGAGUGGGCAAGGGGUCCCAGGGAGGGACGUGCCUGGCAAACGGAGACCAGCUGCACGGGGCUGAUUGGGGACUGUCGCCCCCGGCGGUGGAAACGUCUUUCCUGCCUGCGCUGAAGGAGGAAGGGACCCUCGGAGGCGGAGGUCUACACCCAACGCAAGUGCGAAUACGCGUGCCCACACCUGCGAAAGGCUCCUGCGACACUACUUAUGCACGAUGGCCCAAGCCCGAUACCAGCCCGCCGCCAGCAGCAGAAGAGCUGGACGAACGCGCUGGAGCCCUGAGAACGGCUGUGUUCGCGCCAAACACACCCACGAGGGCGCGGAGGACGCUCCCGGGGCGGCCGGAGCCCUGCGGGGGCGCCACGGUCAAUGACAAGCUGAGUCACGACAGGGGCCGGAGGAGGGGCCGGGACACGGCGCGCGGCCGUCUGGACGCGGCCUCGCCGGCUCGUUCGGUUCCGGAGGAAGCGCCGGCGCACGCGCUUUUCCAGAUGACCCUUCACCCUGGAGGGAAAAAGCAAAAGCCGCAGAGCCGGCGGCAGCCUGGUUUCCCGCCUCGCCGCCUCCCCCCGGCGGCCGCUCUGCGAACUGCAGCGCUGGCGGGCAGGCGCGCCCGGGAGGCGGGUUCAGGAGCACCUCGAGCAGAAGGAAAGCUCCGCCCAUCGGCCAAGCCCCGGCCGCGUGCAGAACUCACUCCGGGGACUCACGGGUUGAAAAAGCAGAACCGGCCGGGGCCCUACCGGCCUCUGAAGUGGGUUGGGCCCAGGUCCCCCGCCCCUGCACUCCCGUCUCACCCCUCCCGGCUCCCCAAACCCCAGCCCCACCGUCACCGGCCGGGGCUCCUUCGCGGGUCUCUGCGUGGCUGACUCAGGUCAGGUGUGGAGCGCGUGACGGAGGCGGGCCAAUCAGGGCUGACUGUCCUUGAUUGGCUCGAAAGCGAGCAUGUGACUAAGCCUGGCCAAUCGGAGCGAGACGUGGGACUUUGGCGGGGCAUGCGGGGUGGGGCGGGGCGCCAAGGCAGCAACCUCCCUCCUUAAGGAGGCAGCCCCUGGAGCUGGAAGCCGCCACCUGGUCACUGUCUGCAAAGGGGAGCAACAGCCACGUGACGGAGCCGGAGCAGUGCCCGGCCACAUGCUUGGAUCGCUGGGUCCACGCCUGCCUGACGUGGAAUCUAGGACUACUCGGUUGCGUGGGAAAGUUUCCUUUUCUGGCGGUAAGGCAAUUUCCCCCCACCCCACCCGACCCCAGUGCUGUGCCACGGAAAGAAGGAAACAGAAGGAGUGUGAUGCCCCGUGAUUCCAGAACGAUGAGCCCUUGGAUUGGAGGGAGUGAUGGCGACCUCAGGGGUGAGGGUAGUGCUGCAGGAAAGAGGAGAGAUUUUUGCUGUGACUUGAGAUCAGGGAGCUUUAAACGGGCAAAAUUAAGUCACCAGUAAACCACGCAGGAAAUGAAAGCGAGAGGUGAACGUCUCCACUUUAGAUUUUAUAUCUAUCUUUCGAUUCCUGUCAUCAAAGUUUCCAACCCCAUGGUUUGAUAAACGCACUACCUAGGUUCAACAA
RNAcentral lists this long non-coding RNA (1988 nucleotides) under Sus scrofa (pig). RNAcentral describes it as "lncRNA (ENSSSCG00045000008.1)". Lineage: Eukaryota; Metazoa; Chordata; Mammalia; Artiodactyla; Suidae. The record is from RNAcentral.